Cottoperca gobio is the source of this 893-nucleotide long non-coding RNA. RefSeq lists it as uncharacterized. Lineage: Eukaryota; Metazoa; Chordata; Actinopteri; Perciformes; Bovichtidae. The transcript has 3 exons. The record is from RefSeq and is a predicted model, not a curated record.
AGCGACGUGGCUGAGCGGCAGGUAGCUGACCACCAAUUCCUGAGCCUGAGUAGCGUCUGUCAGACGCACGUGGCGGCUGGUGGAGAGCGCGGUCCAGGUUAUCUGAGGGGAAGGCGAGAGGACUACAUUUAAUAUAAGGAUUUCUACUGUUGUUCUGCCUGUGAUGUUGAGCUAGAUCAGCCGCUCAAUCAAGGAAAGUGCAAACAGUGCCGUCAUCGAGGGAGUCUGCGCUGUGUCCUGCACUGCACGAUGACUUCAGGAAGCCGCCCCCUCUGGGAGGCUCCAUCACCACGGCUUCAGACAUGGCGGUGGGCUCACACACGGUCACUGAGAGGAGAGCGGAGGGACGGGAUUUGUUAGCUACUGUACUGUAUAUUUGACAAGCACAUCACCUUCAAGCAUCUGCAACAAGUAAAGUUAUGGCUGUAACGGGUGAUAACUUGACACAAGACAUGUGUCAAGUAGUGUAAGCAUAUUCAAUACUCGGGUACAUCUGCAAAAAGACAAAAACUCUCCUCCCCCUAAUGUCCAAAUCUAGGACGUUUAAGCUAAUUCAUUGGUGAUUUUAGUAUAAAGCUGCAACUCGACGUCUUCAAAUGCGUUCUGUCCAACCAACUGCCUAAAACCAAAAGAUGAGAUGAAACUGUGAAAGGAGGUAGAUCCUAACAAUUGAGAUGCUACAACCAGAGAGUGAUUUGAAUUUUUGAUAAAGUGAUUAUCAAACUAGUUGCCGACUAAUUUUCUGACUUAUGAUUACUGAUGUUUGUUUAUUUUUUGCACUUUAUUGCUAAUUUGUUUGUUAUUAUAAUGGUGAGUCCGCUUUGUAGCAUGUAUCCAAAUCAUCUGAGAAAAACUUGAUUAAUUAGAUUUAUGAUGUCACUACAUUCAGAGGA